RNAcentral lists this ribosomal RNA (314 nucleotides) under uncultured bacterium. RNAcentral's name for it is "bacterial SSU rRNA". It matches the Rfam family "Bacterial small subunit ribosomal RNA", at positions 28 to 342 of the family's 1533-position model. The record is from RNAcentral.
GAUGAACGCUAGCGGCAGGCCUAACACAUGCAAGUCGAGGGGUAGAGUUCUUCGGGACUUGAGACCGGCGCACGGGUGCGUAACGCGUAUGCAAUCUACCUUAUACAGGGGAAUAGCCCCAGAGAAAUUUGGAUUAAUGCCCCAUAGUGUUAUCGAAUCGCAUGGUUUGAUAACUAAAGUUCCAACGGUAUAAGAUGAGCAUGCGUCCCAUUAGUUAGUUGGUAAGGUAACGGCUUACCAAGACAAUGAUGGGUAGGGGUCCGUGAGAGGGAGAUCCCCCACACUGGUACUGAGACACGGACCAGACUCCGUAC